Non-coding RNA from Picea glauca (white spruce), 46 nucleotides. The record is from Rfam. Lineage: Eukaryota; Viridiplantae; Streptophyta; Pinopsida; Pinales; Pinaceae.
GUAAUGGUUUCAUUAGAAACCACCCUUUCUCUUCAAAAAUUUGUAU